Molecule: ribosomal RNA, 254 nt
Filed under: uncultured bacterium
Lineage: Bacteria
Description: partial 16S ribosomal RNA
Rfam family: Bacterial small subunit ribosomal RNA
Source: RNAcentral
UACGUAGGGUGCGAGCGUUGUCCGGAAUUAUUGGGCGUAAAGAGCUCGUAGGCGGUGUGUCACGUCGGCCGUGAAAACCUGCAGCUUAACUGUGGGCGUGCGGUCGAUACGGGCAUCACUGGAGUUCGGCAGGGGAGACUGGAAUUCGUGGUGUAGCGGUGAAAUGCGCAGAUAUCAGGAGGAACACCGGUGGCGAAGGCGGGUCUCUGGGCCGAUACUGACGCUGAGGAGCGAAAGCGUGGGGAGCGAACAGG